AAUUUAGAUAUUUUAGUCUUUUAUUUUUAAUUCGAUUUAUAAAAUAAUUAAAAACAAUUUUAAAUGCAUUAAAGGGAUACUUUGGAAUCAAAAGUUUCUAGUUGUGUACUGCAAAAAUGAGGUUUGAGUUACUAACGUUGAAAUCUCGUAACUAGUAAAAGAAAUUUCUGUUCUAGACAGUAAAAAAUCAGGUGAAGUAAAACAUUUCAGUAACUUGAUAUAUGUAAACAACAUUUCGAGAGUAGUGGAGAGCGAAAUCGAUCUAAAGAUAAAAACUCAGAUCUGAUUACGAAAGAAAGAUAGGGUGCUAUUCCCGUAGUAAGAAGAACUAAGUUUUUAAUGAACAUCGGAAUAUGUGAUUUUUGAUGUGUUAGAGGAUUUACCCUCUUCUUUAUAAAUUUUUGAUUACCGAUAGCGAAUAUUACCGUGAGGGAAAAGUGAAAAAGAACUUCUAUAAGAGUUAAAAGAUUUGAAAUGUAAUGCAUAUAAUCAGUUGGAGCUAAUACAAUAAAAAAUUAGUGACAGCGUACCUUUUGCAUAAUGGACCAAUAAAUUUAUUUAAUUAACGAGUUUAAACACAAGUGAUUGUUUAGGCGAAAUUUAUUUGAAAAUAAUAGUUAAUUAGAUAAAACCCGAAGCUGAAUGAGCUAACUAUGAACAGGCUGAAAAAUGUCUAAAACCGUUUGAAGGGCCGAACUCGUGGAUGUUGCAAAAUCUUGGGAUGAUUUGUAGUUAGGGGUGAAAGGCUUAUCAAAUUCAGGGAUAGCUGGAUUUCUGCGAAAUAUAUUUAAGUAUAGCCUAUAAAAAGUAUGAAGAAAGGGUAGAGCACUUUCUGUAUGAAGGGGAUGAAGAGUCUUAUAGAUUACUAAAAAACUACGAAUAUUUCUUCAUGAAUUAUAGAGUCAGACGUUAAGCGCAAAGGUUUAUCGUCGAAAGGGAAACAGCCCAGAUUAACAGUUAAGGUUUUAAAUAGUAAACGAAGUGAUAAGAAUGUGCCGGAGUCAUGACAAUUAUCAAGUAGGCUUGGAAUCAGCCAUCUUCUAAAGAAAUCGUUAAAGAUCAUUAUUCGAACUCUUGCAAGUCGAAGAUUUAUAGAAGCUUUAGUUUACAACCGAAACUUUAGAUAUAUUUUAACAAUUUAUGUGGUAGCAGAAUACUCAACGUGUCGUGAGUUAUUUCGUAAGAAAUAAUGGAGAGAGUUGAGGCAAGCAUAUUGGUAUUAGUAAAGGAAACAAUGAAAAACAUUGUCGCCAAAAGUCCAAGGUUUCUAAUACACGUGAUCAACAUUAUUAGAUUAAUACGGACCCUUAGACAAAUUUACAAUUGUAUAAGUUGAUGGGAAUUUAACGUGACGGAUGUCACUUUUAUCUUUUUUAAAGUUUAAAAUAGUAGAAAAUAUCUCUGGAAAUAGCGUUAAAAAAAUUACCGUACUGCAAACCGCCACAGGUGGACAAAUAAUUUAUAUUAAGGCGAUCAAAAGAACUAUAUGUAAGGAACUCUGCAAAUUGACUCUGUAACUUCGGGAGAAGGGGUGACGCUAUUGUUUUAUUACAAUAGAGUUAGCAUUGAAGAGGAAGCGGCGACUGUUUAACAAAAACACAAGUCUCUGCGAAUUCGAGAGAAGAUGUAUAGAGACUGACGCUUGCCCGGUGCUGAGUAGCUAUGUGGAGAUGUGAAUACAUCGAAAUUAUCCUCCAGCAAACGGCGGCUGUAACUCUGACGGUCCUAAGGUAGCGAAAUUCCUUGGCGGGUAAAUUCCGUCCUGCAUGAGUAGCGUAACGACUGCUUCACUGUCUCGCAUAUAUUUUUGAUGAAUUUGAAAUACCCGUGAAGAUGCGGGUUACUUACGAUUAGACGGAAAGACCCUAUGCACCUUUACUAUGAUCAUUUGUUGUUUUGUUGGUACUCUCUGUGUAGCAUAGAUGGGAGCUAUGGCGUCAUUGAAAUACCAUCCUGAGGGUCCAAUCUUAACUAACCUUUACCAGGGGACAGCGUGUGAGAGGUAGUUUGGCUGGGGCGGCCGCCUCCUAAAGAGUAACGGAGGCGCACAAAGGUAAGCUUAGAUUUUAUAUUGUUAAGGGUAAUGACAUAUGGUUGCCUGACUGUCAGACUGACAAGUCGAACAGGGACGGAAGUCGGUCAUAGUGACCCGGUAGCUUUUAGUGAAAAAGCUAUCGCUCAACGAAUAAAAGGUACGCUAGGGAUAACAGGCUGAUGGUUUUAGAGAGUUCUUAUUGACAAGACCGUUUGGCACCUCGAUGUCGGCUCAUCACAUCCUGAAGCUGUAGAAGGUUUCAAGGGUUCGACUGUUCGCCGAUUAAAGUGGUACGUGAGCUGGGUUCAGAACGUCGUGAGACAGUU
This 2361-nucleotide ribosomal RNA is filed under the name hot springs metagenome. RNAcentral describes it as "bacterial LSU rRNA". It matches the Rfam family "Bacterial large subunit ribosomal RNA", at positions 1 to 2631 of the family's 2925-position model. The record is from RNAcentral.